GAUGUAUAAUGUCUUAGAUUUCUUUUGGCCCUUUGAGGCUGUUGCUGCUGGAGUCCAGGAUCAGAACUGUGCUGAUCUGAUUGGGUUAUCCAGCUGAGUGCUCCCGCAGGAGAGAUCAUUCCCUGCAGCACUGGGAGAAGUUGCACCAUUACUUUCCUCACACACCCUGGUGCCUAGGCGUGAUUUGUGGAUCUUUUUAUCCUGGGAGACAUCCGGCCAGUACAA
Thalassophryne amazonica is the source of this 225-nucleotide long non-coding RNA. RefSeq lists it as uncharacterized. The transcript has 3 exons. NCBI's taxonomy places the organism in Eukaryota, Metazoa, Chordata, Actinopteri, Batrachoidiformes, Batrachoididae. The record is from RefSeq and is a predicted model, not a curated record.